RNAcentral lists this long non-coding RNA (264 nucleotides) under Capsicum annuum. RNAcentral describes it as "long non-coding RNA (CANN_LNC020351)". The record is from RNAcentral. Lineage: Eukaryota; Viridiplantae; Streptophyta; Magnoliopsida; Solanales; Solanaceae.
CUGGUGUGUUAGUUUAGCGGAAGGAAGAGAAAGAGUUAUUAGUUAAGAUGAUUUGUUGUUUACUUGAAGUACGGAAGGAGUUAUUGAGGGUAUUUGUUGUGUUUGAGGCUUCCCUUAAGGUUACAAAAAAGGAGUUUAGAUGAAACUUAUAGAGCUAUGAUAGUAAUUUAGGUGUAUAGAAUGGUAAAUAGUGAUGAUGGGUAGAAGGAGGAUGUGUUAAUGGAUUGUAAAUAAGAUAGGCCAUACGGUUAUGAUCGGUUAUUA